CGACCUCAGAUUAGGUGGGAUUCCCCCGCUGAAUUUAAGCAUAUUUAGUAAGCGGUGGGAAAAAGAAACCAACAGGGAUUCCCUUUAGUAGCUGCGAGUGAACAGGGAUUAGCCCAGCACUGAAUCCCAAAAGCAUUGCUUUUAGGGAAAUGUAGUGUUUGGGAGGGCUCAAUUAACCCCAAGAUAUGUGCAUUUCGCCCAAGUCCAUCUUGA
Molecule: non-coding RNA, 213 nt
Filed under: Rhodnius prolixus
Lineage: Eukaryota; Metazoa; Arthropoda; Insecta; Hemiptera; Reduviidae
Description: Eukaryotic large subunit ribosomal RNA
Rfam family: Eukaryotic large subunit ribosomal RNA
Source: Rfam by way of RNAcentral